Molecule: ribosomal RNA, 1408 nt
Filed under: uncultured bacterium
Lineage: Bacteria
Description: bacterial SSU rRNA
Rfam family: Bacterial small subunit ribosomal RNA
Source: RNAcentral
AGAGUUUGAUCCUGGCUCAGGAUGAACGCUAGCGACAGGCCUAACACAUGCAAGUCGAGGGGCAUCGGGGCGAGGAGCAAUCCUUGCCGCCGGCGACCGGCGCACGGGUGAGUAACGCGUAUGCGACCUGCCCGUUGCAGGGGGAUAAUCGGGAGAAAUCCCGUCUAAUACCGCGUAAUGCCGCGGGGCUGCAUGGCCCUGCGGCCAAAGGGAGCGAUUCCGGCAACGGAUGGGCAUGCGUGACAUUAGCUAGUUGGCGGGGCAACGGCCCACCAAGGCGACGAUGUCUAGGGGUUCUGAGAGGAAGGUCCCCCACACUGGUACUGAGACACGGACCAGACUCCUACGGGAGGCAGCAGUGAGGAAUAUUGGUCAAUGGGCGCGAGCCUGAACCAGCCAAGUCGCGUGAGGGAUGACGGCCCUACGGGUUGUAAACCUCUUUUGUCGGGGAGCAAAUUCCGCCACGUGUGGCGGAGUCGAGAGUACCCGAAGAAAAAGCAUCGGCUAACUCCGUGCCAGCAGCCGCGGUAAUACGGAGGAUGCGAGCGUUAUCCGGAUUUAUUGGGUUUAAAGGGUGCGUAGGCGGACUGUCAAGUCAGCGGUAAAAUACGGGGGCUCAACCUCCGCCCGCCGUUGAAACUGACGGUCUUGAGUGGGCGAGAAGUAUGCGGAAUGCGUGGUGUAGCGGUGAAAUGCAUAGAUAUCACGCAGAACUCCGAUUGCGAAGGCAGCAUACCGGCGCCCAACUGACGCUGAAGCACGAAAGCGUGGGUAUCGAACAGGAUUAGAUACCCUGGUAGUCCACGCAGUAAACGAUGAAUACUAGCUGUCCGGGGCGAAUGAGCCCUGGGUGGCACAGCGAAAGCGUUAAGUAUUCCACCUGGGGAGUACGCCGGCAACGGUGAAACUCAAAGGAAUUGACGGGGGCCCGCACAAGCGGAGGAACAUGUGGUUUAAUUCGAUGAUACGCGAGGAACCUUACCCGGGCUCAAACGACACAGGAACGUACCUGAAAGGGUUCGGCUCUACGGAGCCUGUGUCGAGGUGCUGCAUGGUUGUCGUCAGCUCGUGCCGUGAGGUGUCGGCUUAAGUGCCAUAACGAGCGCAACCCCCAUCGACAGUUGCUAACAGGUCAGGCUGAGGACUCUGUCGAGACUGCCGGCGCAAGCUGCGAGGAAGGCGGGGAUGACGUCAAAUCAGCACGGCCCUUACGUCCGGGGCGACACACGUGUUACAAUGGCAGGUACAGCGGGAAGCCACCUGGCGACAGGGAGCGGAACCCGAAAGCCUGUCUCAGUUCGGAUUGGAGUCUGCAACCCGACUCCAUGAAGCUGGAUUCGCUAGUAAUCGCGCAUCAGCCACGGCGCGGUGAAUACGUUCCCGGGCCUUGCACACACCGCCCGUCAAG